Non-coding RNA from Dendryphion nanum, 85 nucleotides. NCBI's taxonomy places the organism in Eukaryota, Fungi, Ascomycota, Dothideomycetes, Pleosporales, Torulaceae. The record is from the annotation of a GenBank genome assembly.
GGUUGUGUAGUGUAGCGGUUAUCACUCCGGAUUCUGAAACACUUAGAACCUUCCGGCAACCCCGGUUCGAUUCCGGGCACGACCU